GACGAACGCUGGCGGCGUGCUUAACACAUGCAAGUCGAACGAGAAUCUUGCUUUAGUUUACUAAAGGAAGAGGACAGUGGCGAACGGGUGAGUAACGCGUAGGUAACCAACCUUACACAGGGGGAUAGCCCCGGGAAACUGGGAGUAAUACCGCAUAAGACCACAGUGCCGCAUGGUGCAGUGGUAAAAAUUGAGAUGGUGUAAGACGGACCUGCGUCCCAUUAGCUAGUUGGUGAGGUAACGGCCCACCAAGGCGACGAUGGGUAGCCGACCUGAGAGGGUGAUCGGCCACAUUGGGACUGAGACACGGCCCAAACUCCUACGGGAGGCUG
RNAcentral lists this ribosomal RNA (332 nucleotides) under uncultured Bacillota bacterium. Its description in RNAcentral is "bacterial SSU rRNA". It matches the Rfam family "Bacterial small subunit ribosomal RNA", at positions 28 to 351 of the family's 1533-position model. Lineage: Bacteria; Bacillati; Bacillota. The record is from RNAcentral.